RNAcentral lists this unclassified non-coding RNA (352 nucleotides) under Cercozoa sp. RNAcentral describes it as "partial contains small subunit ribosomal RNA, internal transcribed spacer 1, and 5.8S ribosomal RNA". The stretch from base 1 to 47 matches the Rfam family "Eukaryotic small subunit ribosomal RNA", at positions 1785 to 1831 of the family's 1831-position model. Lineage: Eukaryota; Cercozoa. The record is from RNAcentral.
AAAGUCGUAACAAGGUUUCCGUAGGUGAACCUGCGGAAGGAUCAUUAACACGUAUCCACGUAUCAAAACCCCUCUGUGCAAACCUCUUCGUAAGGCUUGAUUGGAGUUGUAUUCACUCGAUCUUAAUGAUGGGAGUCCUCUCUCUCUUUUUGAGAAGGGGGGACCCGGGAUCUAUGAGUGUUUACCGCGUUUGACAAUCGGGCCGCUAUUUUUCCAUCGUUAGCCCUUUCUAACUUUUAACCCCUUGUACUUUUUUGUACUGAACCAAUUCUUCGAGUUUCGGCUUCGGCUGAGAUACGAAAGAUAUUACGAAACUAAAGAACAACUCUUAGCAACGGAUAUCUUGGUUCCC